Molecule: long non-coding RNA, 239 nt
Filed under: Daucus carota (carrot)
Lineage: Eukaryota; Viridiplantae; Streptophyta; Magnoliopsida; Apiales; Apiaceae
Description: long non-coding RNA (DCAR_LNC001759)
Source: RNAcentral
UUGGUGUAGUGGUUCAAGCUUUUGGCUUUUCCAAGAAAGUCAUGAGUUCGAAUCAUGAGAUGUGCAUGUGUGGUAACUAGCAAAACAAAAGAAAGAAAAGGAAAAAUACAUAAUAGUGUGUGGAGAGUUAUAAAAAAUCUUAAAAGUGAGACAAAAUGUGGUUAGAUCCAUAUCUUGUGAGAAAUGUGAGACUAAAAACCAAACCAAAUCCAUUUUUCUAAAUGUGAUUUCAAAUGGAU